UGCGUAGGCGGGCUAAUAAGUCAGUGGUGAAAUCUUCCGGCUCAACCGGGAAACUGCCAUUGAUACUGUUAGCCUUGAGUUAGGUUGAGGUAGGCGGAAUGUGUAAUGUAGCGGUGAAGUGCUUAGAUAUUACACAGAACACCAAUUGCGUAGGCAGCUUACUGGACCUACACUGACGCUGAGGCACGAAAGCGUGGGGAGCGAACAGGAUUAGAUACCCUGGUAGUCC
Molecule: ribosomal RNA, 229 nt
Filed under: uncultured bacterium
Lineage: Bacteria
Description: partial 16S ribosomal RNA
Rfam family: Bacterial small subunit ribosomal RNA
Source: RNAcentral